Molecule: ribosomal RNA, 376 nt
Filed under: uncultured organism
Description: bacterial SSU rRNA
Rfam family: Archaeal small subunit ribosomal RNA
Source: RNAcentral
CCCAGCACCCCGAGUGGUCGGGACGAUUAUUGGGCCUAAAGCAUCCGUAGCCGGUUUUACAAGUCCUCCGUUAAAUCCAACUGCUUAACAGAUGGGCCGCGGAGGAUACUAUAAGACUAGGAGGCAGGAGAGGCAAGCGGUACUCAGUGGGUAGGGGUAAAAUCCGUUGAUCCAUUGAAGACCACCAGUGGCGAAGGCGGCUUGCCAGAAUGCGCUCGACGGUGAGGGAUGAAAGCUGGGGGAGCAAACCGGAUUAGAUACCCGGGUAGUCCCAGCUGUAAACGAUGCAGACUCGGUAAUGGACUAGCUUUAUGCUAGUCCAGUGCCGCAGGGAAGCCGUUAAGUCUGCCGCCUGGGUAGUACGGUCGCAAGACUG